AACGAACGCUGGCGGCAUGCCUAACACAUGCAAGUCGAACGAGACCUUCGGGUCUAGUGGCGCACGGGUGCGUAACGCGUGGGAAUCUACCCUUGGGUUCGGAAUAACAGUUAGAAAUGACUGCUAAUACCGGAUGAUGACGUAAGUCCAAAGAUUUAUCGCCCAAGGAUGAGCCCGCGUAAGAUUAGCUUGUUGGUGGGGUAAUGGCCUACCAAGGCGACGAUCUUUAGCUGGUCUGAGAGGAUGAUCAGCCACACUGGGACUGAGACACGGCCCAGACUCCUCCGGGAGGCAGCAGUGGGGAAUAUUGGACCAUGGGCGAAAGCCUGAUCCAGCAAUGCCGCGUGAGUGAUGAAGGCCUUAGGGUUGUAAAGCUCUUUUACCAGGGAUGAUAAUGACAGUACCUGGAGAAUAGCUCCGGCUAACUCCGUGCCAGCAGCCGCCGCCG
This 448-nucleotide ribosomal RNA is filed under the name uncultured bacterium. Its description in RNAcentral is "partial 16S ribosomal RNA". It matches the Rfam family "Bacterial small subunit ribosomal RNA", at positions 29 to 523 of the family's 1533-position model. The record is from RNAcentral.